CCUACGGGUGGCAGCAGUGAGGAAUAGUGGUCAAUGGACGAGAGUCUGAACCAGCCAAGUAGCGUGAAGGAUGACUGCCCUAUGGGUUGUAAACUUCUUUUAUAUGGGAAUAAAAUGUUCCACGUGUGGGAUUUUGUAUGUACCAUAUGAAUAAGGAUCGGCUAACUCCGUGCCAGCAGCCGCGGUAAUACGGAGGAUCCGAGCGUUAUCCGGAUUUAUUGGGUUGAAAGGGAGCGUAGGGGGAUUGUUAAGUCAGUUGUGCAAGUUUGCGGCUCAACCGUAAAAUUGCAGGUGAAACUGGCAGUCUUGCGUACAGUAGAGGUGGUCGGACUUCGUGGUGUAGCGGUGCAAUGCUUAGCUUUCACGAAGCACUCCGAUUGCGAAGGCAGCUCACUGGACUGCACCUGACACUGAGGCUCG
This 420-nucleotide ribosomal RNA is filed under the name uncultured bacterium. Its description in RNAcentral is "partial 16S ribosomal RNA". It matches the Rfam family "Bacterial small subunit ribosomal RNA", at positions 338 to 755 of the family's 1533-position model. The record is from RNAcentral.